GACGAACGCUGGCGGCGUGCUUAACACAUGCAAGUCGAACGGAAAGGCCCUGCUUUUGUGGGGUGCUCGAGUGGCGAACGGGUGAGUAACACGUGAGUAACCUGCCCUUGACUUUGGGAUAACUUCAGGAAACUGGGGCUAAUACCGGAUAGGAGCUCCUGCUGCAUGGUGGGGGUUGGAAAGUUUCGGCGGUUGGGGAUGGACUCGCGGCUUAUCAGCUUGUUGGUGGGGUAGUGGCUUACCAAGGCUUUGACGGGUAGCCGGCCUGAGAGGGUGACCGGCGACAUUGGGACUGAGAUACGGCGCAGACGCCUACGGGAGGCAGCAGUGGGGAAUAUUACACAAUGGGCGGAAGCCUGAUGCAGCAACGCCGCGUGCGGGAUGACGGCCUUCGGGUUGUAAACCGCUUUCGCCUGUGACGAAGCGUGAGUGACGGUAAUGGGUAAAGAAGCACCGGCUAACUACGUG
This 468-nucleotide ribosomal RNA is filed under the name uncultured bacterium. RNAcentral's name for it is "partial 16S ribosomal RNA". It matches the Rfam family "Bacterial small subunit ribosomal RNA", at positions 28 to 507 of the family's 1533-position model. The record is from RNAcentral.